UACGUAGGAGGCAAGCGUUGUCCGGAUUUACUGGGCGUAAAGGGCUCGCAGGCGGUUCACUAAGUCUGACGUGAAAUCUCCCGGCUUAACUGGGAGGGUGCAUUGGAUACUGGUGAACUUGAGGGCAUCAGAGGAGAGUGGAAUUCCCGGUGUAGUGGUGAAAUGCGUAGAUAUCGGGAGGAACACCAGUGGCGAAGGCGGCUCUCUGGGGUGCAUCUGACGCUGAGGAGCGAAAGCGUGGGGAGCGAACCGGAUUAGAUACCCGGGUAGUCCACGCUGUAAACGAUGAUGACUAGGUGUGAGGGGUAUCGACCCCCUUUGUGCCGAAGCUAACGCGAUAAGUCAUCCGCCUGGGGACUACGGCCGCAAGGCUAAA
RNAcentral lists this ribosomal RNA (376 nucleotides) under uncultured bacterium. RNAcentral describes it as "bacterial SSU rRNA". It matches the Rfam family "Bacterial small subunit ribosomal RNA", at positions 524 to 898 of the family's 1533-position model. The record is from RNAcentral.